This 568-nucleotide ribosomal RNA is filed under the name Clostridium botulinum C/D str. BKT75002. RNAcentral's name for it is "bacterial SSU rRNA". It matches the Rfam family "Bacterial small subunit ribosomal RNA", at positions 197 to 783 of the family's 1533-position model. The record is from RNAcentral. Lineage: Bacteria; Bacillati; Bacillota; Clostridia; Eubacteriales; Clostridiaceae.
AUAAUCAAAGGAGCAAUCCGCUUUGAGAUGGACCCGCGGCGCAUUAGCUAGUUGGUGAGGUAACGGCUCACCAAGGCAACGAUGCGUAGCCGACCUGAGAGGGUGAUCGGCCACAUUGGAACUGAGAUACGGUCCAGACUCCUACGGGAGGCAGCAGUGGGGAAUAUUGCGCAAUGGGGGAAACCCUGACGCAGCAACGCCGCGUGAGUGAUGAAGGUUUUCGGAUCGUAAAACUCUGUCUUUAGGGACGAUAAUGACGGUACCUAAGGAGGAAGCCACGGCUAACUACGUGCCAGCAGCCGCGGUAAUACGUAGGUGGCAAGCGUUGUCCGGAUUUACUGGGCGUAAAGAGUAUGUAGGUGGGUGCUUAAGUCAGAUGUGAAAUUCCCGGGCUCAACCUGGGAGCUGCAUUUGAAACUGGGCAUCUAGAGUGCAGGAGAGGAAAGUGGAAUUCCUAGUGUAGCGGUGAAAUGCGUAGAGAUUAGGAAGAACACCAGUGGCGAAGGCGACUUUCUGGACUGUAACUGACACUGAGAUACGAAAGCGUGGGUAGCAAACAGGAUUAGAU